AGACCCGAAACCCGGUGAUCUAGCCAUGGGCAGGUUGAAGGUUGGGUAACACUAACUGGAGGACCGAACCGACUAAUGUUGAAAAAUUAGCGGAUGACCUGUGGCUGGGGGUGAAAGGCCAAUCAAACCGGGAGAUAGCUGGUUCUCCCCGAAAGCUAUUUAGGUAGCGCCUCGUGAAUUCAUCUCCGGGGGUAGAGCACUGUUUCGGCUAGGGGGCCAUCCCGGCUUACCAACCCGAUGCAAACUGCGAAUACCGGAGAAUGUUAUCACGGGAGACACACGGCGGGUGCUAACGUCCGUCGUGAAGAGGGAAACAACCCAGACCGCCAGCUAAGGUCCCAAAGUCAUGGUUAAGUGGGAAACGAUGUGGGAAGGCCCAGACAGCCAGGAUGUUGGCUUAGAAGCAGCCAUCAUUUAAAGAAAGCGUAAUAGCUCACUGGUCGAGUCGGCCUGCGCGGAAGAUGUAACGGGGCUAAACCAUGCACCGAAGCUGCGGCAGCGAACGUAUCACCCAAGACAACUUUACGGAGUUGACGAUUGACGGAGCGAAGCGACGUCAAAGCGUUCAUUAAAGUCGAGUUGGCUUAGGGAUACGUUCGUUGGGUAGGGGAGCGUUCUGUAAGCCUGUGAAGGUGUGUCGUGAGGCAUGCUGGAGGUAUCAGAAGUGCGAAUGCUGACAUAAGUAACGAUAAAGCGGGUGAAAAGCCCGCUCGCCGGAAGACCAAGGGUUCCUGUCCAACGUUAAUCGGGGCAGGGUGAGUCGACCCCUAAGGCGAGGCCGAAAGGCGUAGUCGAUGGGAAACGGGUUAAUAUUCCCGUACUUGGUGUUACUGCGAAGGGGGGACGGAGAAGGCUAUGUUGGCCGGGCGACGGUUGUCCCGGUUUAAGCGUGUAGGUGUGUGUUCCAGGUAAAUCCGGUUCACUUUAACACUGAGGCGUGACGACGAGGCACUACGGUGCUGAAGCAACAAAUGCCCUGCUUCCAGGAAAAGCCUCUAAGCAUCAGGUAACACGAAAUCGUACCCCAAACCGACACAGGUGGUCAGGUAGAGAAUACCAAGGCGCUUGAGAGAACUCGGGUGAAGGAACUAGGCAAAAUGGUGCCGUAACUUCGGGAGAAGGCACGCUGACACGUAGGUGAAGUGAUUUACUCAUGGAGCUGAAGUCAGUCGAAGAUACCAGCUGGCUGCAACUGUUUAUUAAAAACACAGCACUGUGCAAACACGAAAGUGGACGUAUACGGUGUGACGCCUGCCCGGUGCCGGAAGGUUAAUUGAUGGGGUCAGCGCAAGCGAAGCUCCUGAUCGAAGCCCCGGUAAACGGCGGCCGUAACUAUAACGGUCCUAAGGUAGCGAAAUUCCUUGUCGGGUAAGUUCCGACCUGCACGAAUGGCGUAAUGAUGGCCAGGCUGUCUCCACCCGAGACUCAGUGAAAUUGAACUCGCUGUGAAGAUGCAGUGUACCCGCGGCAAGACGGAAAGACCCCGUGAACCUUUACUAUAGCUUGACACUGAACAUUGAGCCUUGAUGUGUAGGAUAGGUGGGAGGCUUUGAAGUGUGGACGCCAGUCUGCAUGGAGCCGACCUUGAAAUACCACCCUUUAAUGUUUGAUGUUCUAACGUGGACCCGUAAUCCGGGUUGCGGACAGUGUCUGGUGGGUAGUUUGACUGGGGCGGUCUCCUCCUAAAGAGUAACGGAGGAGCACGAAGGUUGGCUAAUCCUGGUCGGACAUCAGGAGGUUAGUGCAAUGGCAUAAGCCAGCUUGACUGCGAGCGUGACGGCGCGAGCAGGUGCGAAAGCAGGUCAUAGUGAUCCGGUGGUUCUGAAUGGAAGGGCCAUCGCUCAACGGAUAAAAGGUACUCCGGGGAUAACAGGCUGAUACCGCCCAAGAGUUCAUAUCGACGGCGGUGUUUGGCACCUCGAUGUCGGCUCAUCACAUCCUGGGGCUGAAGUAGGUCCCAAGGGUAUGGCUGUUCGCCAUUUAAAGUGGUACGCGAGCUGGGUUUAGAACGUCGUGAGACAGUUCGGUCCCUAUCUGCCGUGGGCGCUGGAGAACUGAGGGGGGCUGCUCCUAGUACGAGAGGACCGGAGUGGACGCAUCACUGGUGUUCGGGUUGUCAUGCCAAUGGCACUGCCCGGUAGCUAAAUGCGGAAGAGAUAAGUGCUGAAAGCAUCUAAGCACGAAACUUGCCCCGAGAUGAGUUCUCCCUGAGACUUAGAGUCUCCU
This 2226-nucleotide ribosomal RNA is filed under the name Salmonella enterica subsp. enterica. RNAcentral's name for it is "partial 23S ribosomal RNA". It matches the Rfam family "Bacterial large subunit ribosomal RNA", at positions 711 to 2829 of the family's 2925-position model. RNAcentral also lists the same sequence under 1 other name. The record is from RNAcentral. Lineage: Bacteria; Pseudomonadati; Pseudomonadota; Gammaproteobacteria; Enterobacterales; Enterobacteriaceae.